RNAcentral lists this ribosomal RNA (516 nucleotides) under uncultured Pseudomonas sp. Its description in RNAcentral is "bacterial SSU rRNA". It matches the Rfam family "Bacterial small subunit ribosomal RNA", at positions 209 to 714 of the family's 1533-position model. The record is from RNAcentral. Lineage: Bacteria; Pseudomonadati; Pseudomonadota; Gammaproteobacteria; Pseudomonadales; Pseudomonadaceae.
CUGCUGACGCUAUCAGAUGAGCCUAGGUCGGAUUAGCUAGUUGGUGCAGUGUAAUGGGCUCACCAAGGCGACGAUCCGUAACUGGUCUGAGAGGAUGAUCAGUCACACUGGAACUGAGACACGGUCCAGACUCCUACGGGAGGCAGCAGUGGGGAAUAUUGGACAAUGGGCGAAAGCCUGAUCCAGCCAUGCCGCGUGUGUGAAGAAGGUCUUCGGAUUGUAAAGCACUUUAAGUUGGGAGGAAGGGCAGUAAGUUAAUACCUUGCUGUUUUGACGUUACCAACAGAAUAAGCACCGGCUAACUCUGUGCCAGCAGCCGCGGUAAUACAGAGGGUGCAAGCGUUAAUCGGAAUUACUGGGCGUAAAGCGCGUGUAGGUGGUUCGUUAAGUUGGAUGUGAAAGCCCCGGGCUCAACCUGGGAACUGCAGUCGAUACUGGGUAUCUAGAGUAUGGCAGAGGAUAGUGGAAUUCCCGGUGUAGCAGUGAAAUGCGUAGAUAUAGGAAGGAACACCAGUG